AUAAUUAUGGCUUCUCUUUUUCUAUCAAAAUUUUCUUUCUUUCCUUUACUAAUAAUAAUAACUUUAUUUUUUCACUCUUCUCAUUGUGAUGUCCUAACAAGAUGUCACAUCACAUCACUUUUCCAGUUCGGCGAUUCUAUCGCGGAUGCUGGAAACGUGAUCCGCAUACCGGGUGCCGUCAUAUCGGCCCAGGCAUGGGGUCUACCUUAUGGUGAAACCUUUUUUCAUAAACCUACUGGACGUUUUUCUGACGGUCGUAUUAUCGCUGACUACAUCGCCACAGCUCUCAAUCUCCCAUUCCUCAAUCCUUACAUGGACAAAUCAGGUGUUUCCUUUAGUGAAGGUGCUAAUUUCGCCGUUGCUGGUGCAACGGCGAUGAAUAACUCUUUUUUGGCGGAGAGGGGCAUUGGACAUGUCCCGUUCAACGUUCCUCUCCCGAGUCAAUUAGAGUGGUUUAAAUCUCACCUCCAGUCAACCUAUGGGUCAAAAUAUUCUACAACUCUACGAAACUCUCUUGUAGUAUUAGGAGAGUUUGGUGGAGUUGAUUAUUGGAAUGCUUUAGCGGGAAAUAAACCUGAACCUGAGGUACGUACAUACGUACCUUUUAUUAUUGAUGGCAUUAUAAGUGCCAUCAAAGAGGUGAUCCAAUUAGGAUCAACUCGCAUUUUGGUUCCAGGAGUUUUUCCUUUUGGGUGUCUAUCAUCAUACCUAACACGAAUCCAGAUGCUUAUGAUCAAUAUGGCUGUUUGAAAUUUUAUAAUGAUUUCGCUACGUACCACAAUACUGAGCUAAAGAAGGCUCUAGAAAAUCUAGGACGUGAGUUCCCACGUGUUAAAAUUGUGUAUGGGGAUUACUAUGGGGGUUUUAGGCUUGUUUUUCGAUACGCGUCUUGGUUGGGAUUUAAUCAAAGUACAUUGGUAUCGGCAUGUUGUGGAAGCGGAGGAGGACGAUACAAUGCCGGGGGAUGCAGUUCAGCUAGUACCAAUGUAUGUCCUAACCCGUCCCAAUACGUUAAUUGGGACGGGCUUCAUCUGACAGAUGAAGCUUAUCAUCGUAUUUCUAACGUUGUUAUCAACAAUAUGCUUCCAAAAUUUGGGUGUCGUGGACUUGGAAAUUCGAGUGUAUUGUCUAGUUAUUGAGUUUUUGAAGGUUUUUGUUUAAUUUUGGUGUUUUGAUUUUGUGUUAUGUGUUUUUCUUGAUUUUCUUUGAUUUUGGGUUUUUUUUUAAAAAAAUGAAAUGUUUUGUAGUUGAAAUGAAUAUGAAUAAAAGAAUGAUUAUUGUGGUAUUGUAA
This is an RNA transcript of Solanum pennellii, 1291 nucleotides long. It is a transcript of the gene named acetylajmalan esterase-like, with no coding region annotated. The transcript has a single exon. The record is from RefSeq and is a predicted model, not a curated record. Lineage: Eukaryota; Viridiplantae; Streptophyta; Magnoliopsida; Solanales; Solanaceae.